AGGGGAUCGCAAGACCUUGCGCUAAUGGAGUGGCCGAUAUCUGAUUAGCUAGUUGGUGAGGUAAAGGCUCACCAAGGCGACGAUCAGUAGCUGGUCUGAGAGGACGACCAGCCACACUGGAACUGAGACACGGUCCAGACUCCUACGGGAGGCAGCAGUGGGGAAUUUUGGACAAUGGGGGCAACCCUGAUCCAGCCAUUCCGCGUGAGUGAAGAAGGCCUUCGGGUUGUAAAGCUCUUUCGUCAGGGACGAAAAGUUACUCACUAAUACUGGGUGAUGAUGACGGUACCUGCAUAAGAAGCACCGGCUAACUACGUGCCAGCAGCCGCGGUAAUACGUAGGGUGCGAGCGUUAAUCGGAAUUACUGGGCGUAAAGCGUGCGCAGGCGGUUUUGUAAGUCAGAUGUGAAAUCCCCGGGCUCAACCUGGGAACUGCGUUUGAAACUACA
Molecule: ribosomal RNA, 448 nt
Filed under: uncultured beta proteobacterium
Lineage: Bacteria; Pseudomonadati; Pseudomonadota; Betaproteobacteria
Description: bacterial SSU rRNA
Rfam family: Bacterial small subunit ribosomal RNA
Source: RNAcentral